This 2756-nucleotide long non-coding RNA is filed under the name Papio anubis (olive baboon). RNAcentral describes it as "lncRNA (ENSPANG00000048124.1)". Lineage: Eukaryota; Metazoa; Chordata; Mammalia; Primates; Cercopithecidae. The record is from RNAcentral.
ACCUCGACGCAGUAAGACAAAGUGGGAACCACCCUUGGCAUUCAGUGGUAAAAUGGUGUGCCAUCACCACCCCACUUGCCCAUAGUCAGAAUCACCUCCUGACUGACUGUGGCAUCUUAUCUUUGAUCCAAUCAAUGUUGCCUUCUGGAGUCUGUCAUUCUUUUCUUGUCUAAUCUUUUCAAUUGGCCCCGUCUGCACUUGGCCGCAUUUCUGUAUAUGGUUUUGUACGUAGUCACUGCAAGAUAGACUAUGUGUAUUUUCACAUGGAAAUGUCCAUGGCUUGAUGAGAGCUGAAAGUUAAUGUUUUUGAAACUGAAUAAGGGAAGACACCUACUUUUGUUUAGAAGGAAAGAUAGAUAAGGAGCGUCGUCGAGGAAAAAGAACCUCUCUGAUAUAGAGGAAGCCUGUAAACCAUUUUUCCUUCUUUCUCUUGGCCGCAGACAUUUCUUUAAACGUGUGCUGACCUUCUCCUUGGAGGUCUCCUUGAGGACAUUGUCUUAGAAAUCUCUGUAAAGCCAUUGAACACUUUCCACUGCCAAUUUCUCUACUAUCUACAUGAAGCAUAUAAAGAAUCCCUGGUUCAGUCUCAGGAGCAGGCACAAGCCAGUUAAAGAGAUUGCAGGAAGGGAGAGAUGCCUCCCGAGCACUGAAACAGCAUCUCCAGGCCCUCCUCACUAUGGAUGAGCCGGCCAACUCCCAGAGGCGGGACCUCCGAGAACAGCUGGCCUGUAGGCUGUCACGGCACCUCAUCCGAAAGCUCACCACAGUAAAUGAUGAAGGUGAGGGAUGAGAAGAUGUUAAAGUUGAUGACACUGAGGAGGUGCGGAAGGCAGAGAAAGAAAAGGAAGUCCCUGAGGACUCAGUGGAGGAAUGUGCCAUCACUUGUUCAAAUAGCUAUGGCCCUUCUGAGUCCAAUCAGCCUCACAAGAACUCCAAAGUCACAUUUAAGGAAGACCAAAUGGACUUGACUCUGCUUAUAGACGUGAAUCGUCUCCUGAUGUACGGCAGGAUGCUCUAAACCUUGUCGCAGGUAGCCUCUAUUUUCCUUGUGUCUCAUACCUCUGUCUAGACUACGGAAGAUCCAUUGUGAGGACAGCUAUAUACUUACAUAUUGGUUUGACUCAGCAACUAGGAUGGAGCUAGGUGCGGUGACUCACACAUAUAUUCGCAUGCAGCACUUUGGGAGGCCCAAGUGGGAGGAUCAUUUGAAUUCAGGAGUUCAAGAGCAGGCUGGACAAUAUGGUGAAACCCAUCUUUACAAUGAAUACAAAACAUUAGCCAGGCAUGUUCCUUUGCCCAUAGUCCCAUCUGCUCAGGAGGCUUAGGUGGGAGGAUUGGCUCAGAUGAUCCUCCCACCCUCAUUCACUUUUCUCAGGCUAGACUCUCUCUCCUUUUCAUUGGCUUGUCUUAGCUGUUAAUAAGAAGUCUCUGGCCAGGGUCGCUGGGCUCACAUCUGUAAUCCCAGUACUUUGGGAGGACAAGGUGGGUGGAUCACCUGAGGUCAGGAGUUCGAAAGCAGCCUGGUCCCAACAUGGCGAGAAAUUGCAUCUCUACUAAAAAUACAAAAAGUAGCUGGCAUGGUGGUUGGUGCCUGUACUCCCAGCUACUUGGGAGGCUGAGGCAUGAAUAAGCUUGAACCCAGGAGGCAGAGGUUGCAGUGAGCUGAGAUCGUGCCACCAACCUGGGCAACACAGUGAGACUCCCUCUCAAACAAAACAUAAAAACCAAAACCAAAACCAAUCAAACAAAAAAAUUAACGAAACAAAAACAAUCUCUUGAGCUACACAGAAACAUUGGCCACUCAUGGGGUAAAAAGCUCAGAGCCCAGCCUUGCUUUAUAGAAACUUCUAAGCAAGAAAAAAGUGGAAGUGUUUGUGUCCUGGUUUCAAGGUGACUGCGUAACUCAGACAAGUUGACUUAAAGGAGAUCCAGAGUGGAGAUGAGAAGUGAAACCAGGGAAACAGCAUCUUGAAAUCAGUGGACAAGGCUGUCAGUGACAUCCCUCAGUCCUGAUUCAGCGUGUUGAUUCACCAUGGCCAUCAUGUGUUUGGGUUUUCUCCCCAGUCCUAGCUCCACCUCUUCUGCCCACGCCAAAUGUCCAGCAUGGUGGUACUGUGAUGAAGUCAGAGAUGAAUACUCUGAAAUCAAUGAAGCUUCUUGUGAGGAGAGAAUAGCGAUCCAUUCAUAAACACCAAGGAAAAGGGCCUGGCGCUCAAGUGGCCUACUUUCUGGCCAAGGGGCAGAACAGUUACAGUAAGUUCCCUAGGCUCACCAUCACAAAAGUGAUGAAUGAUGUCUUCUCUCUGAAACUAGAUUUGUCUCUAUGAAAUGUGUAAUACUUUCUGUACUUGUAGGAAAAUAGAAAUGGGUAUUUUCACCUUUUGUUAGAAAGCUGAAGAGUGCACCAAAAUAUUUCAAAACUCCGUGUUUGCAGUCCAGAUUAAGGGGAUGGGCCUAGAGUUAAAAUCUCAGUUAUGGUUUCAGACACAGGCACAGAAUGACCUGUUUUCUCCAAGAGGCUAAAUCAUGUUUUCAAGAAUCCUCUCUGUAAACCAUAUAAGAUCUGGCAGAAAAAUAACAUCCUAGUCUGUGUUCCUAAAUGUCUCGGGCUAGUGAACUUUUAUUCAGUUCAAGCUUCUGGUAGGCCAAUAGGCCAAACUCUGUUCUAAAGGGACCUGGGGAGAAUUUGGUGAAUAAUUACACAGUACUGCUGUGAGGUAAGAGGAGUGCAGAACCUGUGGGUAUCUAUAACUGAC